This 320-nucleotide unclassified non-coding RNA is filed under the name Hevea brasiliensis (rubber tree). Lineage: Eukaryota; Viridiplantae; Streptophyta; Magnoliopsida; Malpighiales; Euphorbiaceae. The record is from RNAcentral.
GCUUCCUUCUGUUUCUAUCGCUGAGGAAUGGAUACUAACAGGUGAUCCUAGUAAAGAUGAGGCCGUUCGUGCAGCACAUCGAUAUGAAAGUGCUCCUGAUAUUAUACUGUUUAAGGCUCUACUUUCAUUGUCUUCUGAUGAGUUGGUGUCUGCCAAAAGUGCUCUGGACUUGUGCAUGAAUCAGAUGAAGAAUGUGUUGAACUCACAUCAGUUACCUGAGAAUGCAUCCAUGGAAACAAUUGGUCGGGCAUAUCAUGCCACUGAGACAUUUGUACAGGGGCUACUUUAUUCUAGAUCCUUGUUGAGGAAGCUUGUUGGUG